GAGCGGAUGAGAGGAGCUUGCUCCUCGAUUCAGCGGCGGACGGGUGAGUAAUGCCUAGGAAUCUGCCUGGUAGUGGGGGACAACGUCUCGAAAGGGACGCUAAUACCGCAUACGUCCUACGGGAGAAAGUGGGGGAUCUUCGGACCUCACGCUAUCAGAUGAGCCUAGGUCGGAUUAGCUAGUUGGUGAGGUAAUGGCUCACCAAGGCGACGAUCCGUAACUGGUCUGAGAGGAUGAUCAGUCACACUGGAACUGAGACACGGUCCAGACUCCUACGGGAGGCAGCAGUGGGGAAUAUUGGACAAUGGGCGAAAGCCUGAUCCAGCCAUGCCGCGUGUGUGAAGAAGGUCUUCGGAUUGUAAAGCACUUUAAGUUGGGAGGAAGGGUUGUAGAUUAAUACUCUGCAAUUUUGACGUUACCGACAGAAUAAGCACCGGCUAACUCUGUG
This 448-nucleotide ribosomal RNA is filed under the name uncultured bacterium. Its description in RNAcentral is "bacterial SSU rRNA". It matches the Rfam family "Bacterial small subunit ribosomal RNA", at positions 64 to 507 of the family's 1533-position model. The record is from RNAcentral.